Pelobates cultripes (western spadefoot toad) is the source of this 71-nucleotide non-coding RNA. NCBI's taxonomy places the organism in Eukaryota, Metazoa, Chordata, Amphibia, Anura, Pelobatidae. The record is from the annotation of a GenBank genome assembly.
GCAUUGGUGGUUCAGUGGUAGAAUUCUCGCCUACCACACGGGAGGCCAAUUUUUGAUUUCCAGCCAAUGCA